GAUCCCCAAUCAUCAUCACCCUCCUCUUCAUCAUCUCUCUCCUCAUCUACAUAUCUCUCUCUCCAUCUCGCCCAAAUCUCCCCUCAACUAAAUCACAAGUCCCAAUGCUCAACCCUACCGUCGAUUACUCCUUCCUCACCUCCCUCCAGAAAUUCCUCUCCUCUCCCUCCGAAUCUCGCCAAUAUCGAGACGAUUCAGUUGCGAAUACGGCGAGUCAGGCUGAUGUGAAGAAACUAGAUGACUUGAUGUGGAGAAGAGAGACUGAAAAGCUCUACGAAGAUUCGGCUUAUCCUGGUGUUUCAGUUGUUAGAGUUUAUGUUUACGAAAUGCCGGAUAAGUUUACUUAUGAUAUGCUGAGAUUGUUCUGGAAUACGUAUCAGGAGACUGUUAAUCUUACAUCCAAUGGUAGCCCCGUUCAUCGACUUAUCGAACAGGUUUUUUAAACUAAUGCAUGAUUUUUUACGCGUUCUUAUGUUAUCUAGUACCUUAAUUAGUCCACAUUGUGUGUAUUUGUAUUAGUUUUCAGUUGACGCGCUUAAUUGAUCUACAUUGUGUUUGAUUGAUCUACAGUGUGUGUAUGCUAUAUAGGUAGAUUAUAAGUCAGGUUCCUCUUGUUUUGGUCUCUGAUUGGAUAACAUGACCUUGUUAUUCUGAUGCAGCACUCGAUUGACUAUUGGCUGUGGGCAGAUUUGAUUGCGCCUGAAUCACAAAGGCUUUUGAAGAAUGUUGUUAGAGUUUACCGGCAGGAGGAUGCUGAUCUGUUUUACAUUCCUUUCUUCACAACAAUAAGUUUCUUCUUGUUGGAGAAACAGCAAUGCAAGGCGCUUUAUAGGGUGUGAGUGCCUUUUCAAAGGCUUAGCUCUUUUGUAUUUUAAAGUUUUUCUAUACCUUGUUAUCUUGAUUUGACUUUGAUUUUUGACUUCGAACUGCUGCCUUUUAGGAGGAAGAAGUUUGUAGCAUUCUGACCUACAAUUUUGUAUCACUAAAUGGUUAACCCAUGAUGAGAAGCUGGGUUCAACUUUGUAUAGUUUAUGAGUUUUCUCAUAGGUUAUAUACUGCGUGACAAGUAAAUCCGGCUCUAAGUUCAUGUGCUUUGGCAGCACCUAUUGUACUUUAUUUUUCUAAAAAAACAAAGGAAAUUUUACAUUUAUUACUUACGCAACUUAUGAUAUGUAGGUUAUAAUACAUUUGUCAACGAAGAUUAAUGACGAAUCAUGAAUGUAGGAUUAGCAUUUAGGUAAUACAUUAUUACUUGCACCAUUUCUUAUGCUUUGAAGUGGCCUAAAUUUAACUUGUGUGCCUAAAAGAGGAUGGGUAGACCAUAGGUAAUCUUGGCUAACACCUUUAAUCCUUGUUAGAUGGUAUUGAUUAUUGGAAACAGUGCUUAAUGAAAUCGUUUAGUUUGUGGAACCUAUCAUUCCGAUGACACUUGCAUUAUCAACUGUUUAGUAAUCUAUACUUUUUAGCUCCUUAGUGGAGCUGAACGGGAAGGUUUGAGGGUCGUGCUAGUUGCAUUAGUAGAUGCUAUUAUGUUUAACUGAGUACGUAGUGAAGAGAGAACAAGCAAAUUUGGGAAAGUCUGUACAUGCAAGUAUCAGUUUGACAAGUAAAUUUCCAUAUUCUCUAAAAAUUCUGAAAGCAUAAUUGCCUUACCCAUGAUGUCUGUGUUGAUGAAGAUUACUGCACUAUAAUCAAGUUGACUUUGCUUUCCGUAGUUGGUGCAAUGGUGCUUACGUUGUUACAGCCGUACAUGUAUAGUAGUAGAUUGCAACAUUUUUUGGAAUUUGCUUUCUGUAUGCAAAAAGUAUCAUCAUUUUAGUUUGACAAGUUCUCAUUAAAUUUAUUAUCACUGCUUUAUCUUAUUUAAUCUGGAAAUGUACAAUGUAGGAAGCUUUGAAGUGGGUAACAGAUCAGCCGGCUUGGAAUCGUUCCGGAGGAAGAGAUCACAUACUUCCAGUUCACCAUCCUUGGUCUUUCAAGUCUGUUCGGAAAUAUAUGAAAAAUGCUAUUUGGUUGCUACCGGAUAUGGACUCCACUGGGAACUGGUUAGUAUCCAGAUCAACUGUAAACACCUGCUCGUUAUAAUGGUAUGUUUCGAGCACAUUGAUAAUUCCACUUAAUGUGUCAGGUACAAGCCUGGACAAGUUUCGCUUGAAAAGGACCUCAUACUUCCUUACGUUGCAAAUCUCGAUCUAUGUGAUGCCAAAUGUUUAUCAGAAAGUGAAUUGAAGAGAAGAACACUCCUAUUCUUUCGUGGGAGGCUUAAAAGGAAUGCUGUAAGAUGUUAUGCUAGUAUAUGAAGUGAUUCGUCUUUAUAACAAUUUGGUUAGUUUAUGUUUUUUAAUUAGACAAUGUGUUUAGAUAUCUAAAUUUGGAGGAUGGCUACAUAUUGAGCUAUAUUACAAAUGUCUCUGAGGUUUCUUCUAUUCUUCGUAUAUUAGUCAAAAUAUUCUUGUAUUAGGUGCAAGGACUUGAGUUACAUGCUACAAGAGUGGACAUCUUCUGAGCCUGCUAUUAGUUUGUGCAAGACAUGGUUAUGAGACUGUAUGAUUCAUCCGGCCUUCAUGAACAGUUCUUCUGUAGCGUCACUAACAUAAAUGACAAUGUUUAUUUUNUAACUAAAAGAAAAGCGUCAAAAAAAGAGAGAGAGCUGUCUACUUUCAAGUUUCAACACUCCAGCUGAAACUAACUCCGUCGCUUCUUCAUCAAAAAUGGCGGGUGGGAGAUCGUACGGAAACCCUAGAUUCAGAUCCCCAAUCAUCAUCACCCUCCUCUUCAUCAUCUCUCUCCUCAUCUACAUAUCUCUCUCUCCAUCUCGCCCAAAUCUCCCCUCAACUAAAUCACAAGUCCCAAUGCUCAACCCUACCGUCGAUUACUCCUUCCUCACCUCCCUCCAGAAAUUCCUCUCCUCUCCCUCCGAAUCUCGCCAAUAUCGAGACGAUUCAGUUGCGAAUACGGCGAGUCAGGCUGAUGUGAAGAAACUAGAUGACUUGAUGUGGAGAAGAGAGACUGAAAAGCUCUACGAAGAUUCGGCUU
RNAcentral lists this long non-coding RNA (3036 nucleotides) under Daucus carota (carrot). Its description in RNAcentral is "long non-coding RNA (DCAR_LNC004560)". The record is from RNAcentral. Lineage: Eukaryota; Viridiplantae; Streptophyta; Magnoliopsida; Apiales; Apiaceae.